ACAACAUUAGGACCGUCGGUGCACCGAGCAAUAUCAUCCGCUCGGUGGAAGAUCUCUACGUUGU
Molecule: microRNA precursor, 64 nt
Filed under: Bombyx mori (domestic silkworm)
Lineage: Eukaryota; Metazoa; Arthropoda; Insecta; Lepidoptera; Bombycidae
Description: mir-2774 microRNA precursor family
Rfam family: mir-2774 microRNA precursor family
Source: Rfam by way of RNAcentral